Molecule: long non-coding RNA, 409 nt
Filed under: Helianthus annuus (common sunflower)
Lineage: Eukaryota; Viridiplantae; Streptophyta; Magnoliopsida; Asterales; Asteraceae
Source: RNAcentral
GGGGAGACAGUUGGGGAAGAGAAGCUCACUAUCGGAAGAGAAGAGUGGAUGACCUCCUGUUGGACGCCGCCGGCGAUCAGUCUUCCUCCUACAGGAAGCUUUCUAGCGGCAAAUAUGCUUGUCUCCUUUGCCCUCAUACUCCCGUCUUUGAUACUCCUAUGCAUAUGAAAUCAAGACGCCAUCUUGCUGCAGAAAGUAGGUUCAAACAAAACGAAGAAGAAAGACAAAAUGAGAUGAAUAAGCGAAUAGCGUUGUCGCUAGAAUCUACUUCCACGAGCAAAACUGGUAACACACCUACAAAGCAGGCAAACUUAGCUAGCAAACCAUUGACUGAAAAAACUCGAAAGGCCACUUUUGAUCUACUUCACCGUAGUCAUCCUGAACAAGGUACUACAGUUAACAGCGAUUC